This 1314-nucleotide long non-coding RNA is filed under the name Homo sapiens (human). Its description in RNAcentral is "HSALNT0238550". The record is from RNAcentral. Lineage: Eukaryota; Metazoa; Chordata; Mammalia; Primates; Hominidae.
AGUGCCUCAUGAAGCUUUCCUGGAGCACCAUCUGGGAGUUUCAGGAGCGACUUUUUCAGAGCUGGGCCCCGGAGGACAACGUGGUCCUCAGGAACCUUCAAACCUCCGUGAAGGAACUCACAAGGAAACACUGGGACCUGCCACCCCCAGGGAGCUUGCUACAAAAUGCACAUAACCACAGCCCGGGUCUUGCAAUCCAAGCCUGGCAAGGAUUCAGCAUGUCAAGGGCUUCAGGUCUGAAGGUCCAUGGCUGUCCUGAAUCCUGGAUAUCACCUUCUUGCCCAAAAAAGGAGGGACGAGGCUCAAACCGCAGCAGGCCACUCACAGAAAGGGACGAAACGUUGAGUGCGUGGCCUCCCUGACACCCAGACAAGACUUUGGGCCCAAAGCCAGGCUGCAGCUCUGGCCACUGACUCAGACCAGGGACGCCCCCAUGCAGGCCGGUGUCCCCUGGCCGCUCUUCUCCCUCCUGCCACCCUCUCUUCGGCUGCUUGUGUCAAUAAAAGGAAAACUGGCCAGUUCUCAGAGAAAAUGUAGCUUUAUUAUGACAUAGGAGAGACUACAAAGCACUGGGGGGGAGGAGGAGUGACACAGCUCCUCAAAAUGGAAGGGGAAAGGAAGAGUAAACAUCUUGGUAAAUAAAGUCUCCAACCACAGCACAGUCAUUGGAAUUUUUUUCUUCAUUUUUAUUUUCAAACUUACAGUAAACAAAACAAUCACUUAAAUUGUCAAAAGAACAGCAAUUUUACACAAUGAAGAGCAUACACACCAAGCCAAAAUACAAUAGCACUCAGGUCUAUAUGUUGCAGUGGUGCUGGCGCUGGAGGGAAUGCCCAGGGAGGCUGCAGUGCUCACCACGAAGCCCAGGUCCACGGAGGGAGCCAAGGUCCACAGAGGGCCCCGGGGCCAGAGGGAGGCCGCCCACACUCCCAGCACAUCACCUGCCUCAAAGCACUCCCUUCAGGCAUCUGAAGAGGGAAAGGCCAUGUGUCUUCCUGGGAGGCACUGAAAGGCCAGCCAGCAUCUCCAAAAUGCAGGCCAUUUUAACACUGCUGUGAAUGUGCUGGGGUCACCAAGGGGGCCCCUUAGUGGUCAGAUGCACUUUGUCACAAUGUACACCUACAUGGGGUGAUUACUAGGCAACGGGAGGUUUCCUGAAUUUCACAGCCAGAUGGGGAGCUAAAAGAAAUUCCUGAACCCAACGCGUAAAUAUUUUGUUCUGACAAAGUAAAUUCACAAGAACACAUCAAACACAAGACCUAAUGCAAGGGGCACUGCCCAGCUCACAAUCCUGUGGGCCAACUUCAGUCAACU